RNAcentral lists this ribosomal RNA (400 nucleotides) under uncultured bacterium. Its description in RNAcentral is "partial 16S ribosomal RNA". It matches the Rfam family "Bacterial small subunit ribosomal RNA", at positions 338 to 755 of the family's 1533-position model. The record is from RNAcentral.
CCUACGGGUGACAGCAGUAGGGAAUAUUGCUCAAUGGGGGAAACCCUGAAGCAGCAACGCCGCGUGGAGGAUGAAGGUUUUCGGAUUGUAAACUCCUGUUGUUAGAGAAGAGAAUGACGGUAUCUAACGAAUAAGCACCGGCUAACUCCGUGCCAGCAGCCGCGGUAAUACGGAGGGUGCAAGCGUUACUCGGAAUCACUGGGCGUACAGAGCGCGUAGGCGGGAUAGCAAGUCAGAUGUGAAAUCCUAUGGCUUAACCAUAGAACUGAAUUUGAAACUGUUAUUCUAGAGUAUGGGAGAGGUUGGUGGAAUUCUUGGUGUAGGGGUCAAAUCCGUAGAGAUCAAGAGGACUACUCAUUGCGAAGGCGACCUGCUAAAACAUAACUGCCGCUGAUGCGCG